UCUCCAGACUCCUACGGGAGGCAGCAGUGAGGAAUAUUGGUCAAUGGCCGGAAGGCUGAACCAGCCAAGCCGCGUGAAGGACGAAGGUGCCAAGCAUUGUAAACUUCUUCUGUCAAGGGACAAAAUCAGGCUCGAGAGCCUGACCGAGGGUACUUGAAGAAAAAGCAUCGGCUAACUCCGUGCCAGCAGCCGCGGUAAUACGGAGGAUGCGAGCGUUAUCCGGAUUUAUUGGGUUUAAAGGGUGCGUAGGCGGGACGGUAAGUCAGCGGUAAAAAUGCGGAGCUCAACUCCGUCGAGCCGUUGAAACUGGCUGUCUUGAGAUGUCGAGAGGUAUGCGGAAUGCGCAGUGUAGCGGUGAAAUGCUUAGAUAUUGCGCAGAACUCCGAUUGCGAAGGCAGCAUACCGGCGGCGAUCUGACGCUGAGGCACGAAAGCGUGGGUAUCGAACAGGAUUAGAUACCCUUGUA
This 466-nucleotide ribosomal RNA is filed under the name uncultured bacterium. RNAcentral describes it as "bacterial SSU rRNA". It matches the Rfam family "Bacterial small subunit ribosomal RNA", at positions 328 to 792 of the family's 1533-position model. The record is from RNAcentral.